This 301-nucleotide ribosomal RNA is filed under the name uncultured bacterium. RNAcentral's name for it is "partial 16S ribosomal RNA". It matches the Rfam family "Bacterial small subunit ribosomal RNA", at positions 509 to 807 of the family's 1533-position model. The record is from RNAcentral.
CAGUAGCCGCGGGAAUACGUAGGGUGCAAGCGUUAAUCGGAAUUACUGGGCGUAAAGCGUGCGCAGGCGGUUAUAUAAGACAGAUGUGAAAUCCCCGGGCUCAACCUGGGAACUGCAUUUGUGACUGUAUAGCUAGAGUACGGCAGAGGGGGAUGGAAUUCCGCGUGUAGCAGUGAAAUGCGUAGAUAUGCGGAGGAACACCGAUGGCGAAGGCAAUCCCCUGGGCCUGUACUGACGCUCAUGCACGAAAGCGUGGUGAGCAAACAGGAUUAGAUACCCGUGUAGUCCCUGUCUCUUAUAC